GGCUGCUCCAAAGGUAGUGAGUUAUCUCAACUGAUUGUUCAGUCAAUUAUAGAUUGAACUCCUUGUUCUACUCUUUCCCUGCUUCUCACUCCUGCACUUGACUAGUCUUAA
Molecule: Y RNA, 111 nt
Filed under: Carlito syrichta (Philippine tarsier)
Lineage: Eukaryota; Metazoa; Chordata; Mammalia; Primates; Tarsiidae
Description: Y RNA (ENSTSYG00000028766.1)
Rfam family: Y RNA
About the family: Y RNAs are components of the Ro ribonucleoprotein particle (Ro RNP), in association with Ro60 and La proteins. The Y RNAs and Ro60 and La proteins are well conserved, but the function of the Ro RNP is not known.
Source: Rfam by way of RNAcentral